RNAcentral lists this ribosomal RNA (255 nucleotides) under uncultured bacterium. Its description in RNAcentral is "partial 16S ribosomal RNA". It matches the Rfam family "Bacterial small subunit ribosomal RNA", at positions 524 to 776 of the family's 1533-position model. The record is from RNAcentral.
UACGGGGGGGGGUAAGCGUUGUUCGGAAUUACUGGGCGUAAAGGGCUCGUAGGCGGCCAACUAAGUCGGACGUGAAAUCCCUCAGCUUAACUGGGGAACUGCGUCCGAUACUGGAUGGCUUGGAUUUGGGAGAGGGAUGCGGAAUUCCUGGUGUAGCGGUGAAAUGCGCAGAUAUCAGGAGGAACACCGAUGGCGAAGGCAGCUCGCUGGGACGGUACUGACGCUGAGACGCGAAAGCGUGGGGGAGCAAACAGG